GGGGAUAUAGCUCAGUAGGGAGAGCGCAUGCCUCGCAUGCAUGAGGUCAGGGGUUCGAAUCCCCUUAUCUCCACCA
Molecule: transfer RNA, 76 nt
Filed under: Thermoanaerobacter ethanolicus subsp. thermohydrosulfuricus
Lineage: Bacteria; Bacillati; Bacillota; Clostridia; Thermoanaerobacterales; Thermoanaerobacteraceae
Also listed under: 8 other names
Description: tRNA-Ala
Rfam family: tRNA
About the family: Transfer RNA (tRNA) molecules are approximately 80 nucleotides in length. Their secondary structure includes four short double-helical elements and three loops (D, anti-codon, and T loops). Further hydrogen bonds mediate the characteristic L-shaped molecular structure. tRNAs have two regions of fundamental functional importance: the anti-codon, which is responsible for specific mRNA codon recognition, and the 3' end, to which the tRNAs corresponding amino acid is attached (by aminoacyl-tRNA synthetases). tRNAs cope with the degeneracy of the genetic code in two manners: having more than one tRNA (with a specific anti-codon) for a particular amino acid; and 'wobble' base-pairing, i.e. permitting non-standard base-pairing at the 3rd anti-codon position.
Source: RNAcentral